RNAcentral lists this unclassified non-coding RNA (225 nucleotides) under uncultured Alphaproteobacteria bacterium. RNAcentral's name for it is "contains 16S-23S intergenic spacer region". Lineage: Bacteria; Pseudomonadati; Pseudomonadota; Alphaproteobacteria. The record is from RNAcentral.
UCCGGCUUAUCACCGGCAGUCCCCUUAGAGUGCCCAACUAAAUGAUGGCAACUAAGGGCGAGGGUUGCGCUCGUUGCGGGACUUAACCCAACAUCUCACGACACGAGCUGACGACAGCCAUGCAGCACCUGUCUCCGGUCCAGCCGAACUGAAAAGCUCCAUCUCUGGUGCUCGCGACCGGGAUGUCAAAGGCUGGUAAGGUUCUGCGCGUUACACAGACUAUAC